Molecule: ribosomal RNA, 563 nt
Filed under: uncultured eukaryote
Lineage: Eukaryota
Description: partial 18S ribosomal RNA
Rfam family: Eukaryotic small subunit ribosomal RNA
Source: RNAcentral
UAGUCAUAUGCUUGUCUCAAAGAUUAAGCCAUGCAUGUCUAGGUACAAGCUUGUAUCAAGCGAAACUGCGGAUGGCUCAUUAAAUCAGUCAUGGUUCCUUGGAACGAGUUGCCCUACAUGGAUAACUGUGGUAAUUCUAGAGCUAAUACAUGCUACCCAGCGCCGACCGUAAGGAAGGCGUGCUUUUAUUAGGAACAAGGCCAACCGGGCUCGUCCCGUUAUGUUGGUGAACUCUGGAUAACUUAGCAGAUCGCACGGUCUUCGAACCGGCGACAGAUCCUUCAAACGUCUGCCCUAUCAACUUUCGAUGGUACGUUAUGCGCCUACCAUGGUCGUAACGGGUAACGGAGAAUCAGGGUUCGAUUCCGGAGAGGGAGCCUGAGAAAUGGCUACCACAUCCAAGGAAGGCAGCAGGCGCGCAAAUUACCCACUCUCGACACGGGUAGGUAGUGACGAAAAAUAACAAUACAGGACUCUUUCGAGGCUCUGUAAUUGGUGGGAWYUYYMGCCMSMMCCCCSGAUUAUCWCRCCCSAKRRKGWUKWWWMRCUCRCRAGMUMAAAGU